This 465-nucleotide ribosomal RNA is filed under the name uncultured bacterium. RNAcentral describes it as "partial 16S ribosomal RNA". It matches the Rfam family "Bacterial small subunit ribosomal RNA", at positions 338 to 795 of the family's 1533-position model. The record is from RNAcentral.
CCUACGGGAGGCUGCAGUAGGGAAUCUUCCACAAUGGGCGAAAGCCUGAUGGAGCAACGCCGCGUGGGUGAAGAAGGUCUUCGGAUCGUAAAACCCUGUUGUUAGAGAAGAAAGUGCGUGAGAGUAACUGUUCACGUUUCGACGGUAUCUAACCAGAAAGCCACGGCUAACUACGUGCCAGCAGCCGCGGUAAUACGUAGGUGGCAAGCGUUAUCCGGAUUUAUUGGGCGUAAAGCGAACGCAGGCGGUCUUUUAAGUCUGAUGUGAAAGCCUUCGGCUUAACCGGAGAAGGGCAUUGGAAACUGGGAGACGUGAGUGCAGAAGAGGAGAGUGGAACUCCAUGUGUAGCGGUGAAAUGCGUAGAUAUAUGGAAGAACACCAGUGGCGAAGGCGGCUCUCUGGUCUGUAACUGACGCUGAUGUUCGAAAGCGUGGGUAGCAAACAGGAUUAGAUACCCGGGUAGUC